Molecule: ribosomal RNA, 274 nt
Filed under: uncultured bacterium
Lineage: Bacteria
Description: partial 16S ribosomal RNA
Rfam family: Bacterial small subunit ribosomal RNA
Source: RNAcentral
AUACGGAGGGUGCAAGCGUUACUCGGAAUCACUGGGCGUAAAGGAUGCGUAGGCUGGAUGUCAAAUUGGAAGUGAAAUCCUAUGGCUUAACCAUAGAACUGCUUCCAAAACUGGCAACCUAGAGUGAGGGAGAGGCAGAUGGAAUUAGUGGUGUAGGGGUAAAAUCCGUAGAUAUCACUAGGAAUACCGAUUGCGAAGGCGAUCUGCUAGAACUCUACUGACGCUAAGGCAUGAAAGCGUGGGGAGCAAACAGGAUUAGAUACCCCUGUAGUCC